UGGGGAAUCUUCCGCAAUGGACGAAAGUCUGACGGAGCAACGCCGCGUGAGUGAUGACGGCCUUCGGGUUGUAAAGCUCUGUUAAUCGGGACGAAUGGUUCCUGUGCAAAUAGUGUGAGGAUUUGACGGUACCGGAAUAGAAAGCCACGGCUAACUACGUGCCAGCAGCCGCGGUAAUACGUAGGUGGCAAGCGUUGUCCGGAAUUAUUGGGCGUAAAGCGCGCGCAGGCGGAUUGGUCAGUCUGUCUUAAAAGUUCGGGGCUUAACCCCGUGAUGGGAUGGAAACUGCCAAUCUAGAGUAUCGGAGAGGAAAGUGGAAUUCCUAGUGUAGCGGUGAAAUGCGUAGAUAUUAGGAAGAACACCAGUGGCGAAGGCGACUUUCUGGACGAAAACUGACGCUGAGGCGCGAAAGCCAGGGGAGCGAACGGGAUUAGAUACCCCGGUAGUCCUGGCCGUAAACGAUGGGUACUAGGUGUAGGAGGUAUCGACCCCUUCUGUGCCGGAGUUAACGCAAUAAGUACCCCGCCUGGGGAGUACGACCGCAAGGUUG
RNAcentral lists this ribosomal RNA (550 nucleotides) under uncultured bacterium. Its description in RNAcentral is "bacterial SSU rRNA". It matches the Rfam family "Bacterial small subunit ribosomal RNA", at positions 355 to 896 of the family's 1533-position model. The record is from RNAcentral.